AACGUUAGCUUUCCGAUAGCUCUGUGGACAAGCCCGUGGCAGCUUCCUCCCUGCCCAAACACAGCCAGAUUUCGGAAGUUUUCCCGGAGCACAGAUGAGAAGAUGGAGGAGAGGGUCAGAAAAAUCCUGACCGCCUCGUGUGACAAGAUAUCCCAACUCUUUCUUCUGAAGGACAUGCCCGAGCA
Molecule: long non-coding RNA, 185 nt
Filed under: Cairina moschata (Muscovy duck)
Lineage: Eukaryota; Metazoa; Chordata; Aves; Anseriformes; Anatidae
Description: domestica (muscovy Duck (domestic type)) lncRNA (ENSCMMG00000003616.1)
Source: RNAcentral